Molecule: ribosomal RNA, 601 nt
Filed under: uncultured Leotiomycetes
Lineage: Eukaryota; Fungi; Ascomycota; Leotiomycetes
Description: eukaryotic LSU rRNA
Rfam family: 5.8S ribosomal RNA (bases 238-391)
Source: RNAcentral
CUUGGUCAUUUAGAGGAAGUAAAAGUCGUAACAAGGUCUCCGUAGGUGAACCUGCGGAGGGAUCAUUACAGAGUUCGUGCCCUCACGGGUAGAUCUCCCACCCUGUGUUAUUGUUACCUUUGUUGCUUUGGCGGGCCGCCAGGCCCCGGCCAGGCUACCGGCCCCCGCUGGUACGCGCCCGCCAAAGGACCCCAAACCCUGAACGUUAGUGUCGUCUGAGUACUAUACAAUAGUUAAAACUUUCAACAACGGAUCUCUUGGUUCUGGCAUCGAUGAAGAACGCAGCGAAAUGCGAUAAGUAAUGUGAAUUGCAGAAUCCAGUGAAUCAUCGAAUCUUUGAACGCACAUUGCGCCCCUUGGUAUUCCGAGGGGCAUGCCUGUCCGAGCGUCAUUUCAACCCUCAAGCACAGCUUGGUCUUGGGCUUCGCUGCUAACCCAGCGGGUCUUAAAAUCAGUGGCGGUGCCGUCGGGCCCUGAGCGCAGUAAUUCUUCUCGCUAUAGGGUCCCGGUGGAUACUGGCCAUCAACCCCCAAUCUUCUAUGGUUGACCUCGGAUCAGGUAGGGAUACCCGCUGAACUUAAGCAUAUCAAUAAGCGGAGGA